This 634-nucleotide ribosomal RNA is filed under the name uncultured Arcobacter sp. RNAcentral describes it as "bacterial SSU rRNA". It matches the Rfam family "Bacterial small subunit ribosomal RNA", at positions 69 to 718 of the family's 1533-position model. The record is from RNAcentral. Lineage: Bacteria; Pseudomonadati; Campylobacterota; Epsilonproteobacteria; Campylobacterales; Arcobacteraceae.
CGGAUAUUAACUUGCUAAUAUUGUCAGCUAAGUGGCGCACGGGUGAGUAAUAUAUAGUUAAUCUGCCCCAAAGAAGAGAAUAAUUGUUGGAAACGACUUGUAACGCUCUAUAUGCUUUUAUUACAUAAGUAAGCAAGGGAAACAUUUAUGGCUUUGGGAUGAGACUGUACGGUAUCAGCUAGUUGGUGAGGUAAUGGCUCACCAAGGCUAUGACAUCUAACUGGUUUGAGAGGAUGAUCAGUCACACUGGAACUGAGACACGGUCCAGACUCCUACGGGAGGCAGCAGUGGGGAAUAUUGCACAAUGGAGGAAACUCUGAUGCAGCAACGCCGCGUGGAGGAUGACACAUUUCGGUGCGUAAACUCCUUUUAUAUGAGAAGAUAAUGACGGUAUCAUAUGAAUAAGCACCGGCUAACUCCGUGCCAGCAGCCGCGGUAAUACGGGGGGUGCAAGCGUUACUCGGAAUCACUGGGCGUAAAGAGCAUGUAGGCUGGUUUGUAAGUUGGAAGUGAAAUCCUAUGGCUUAACCAUAGAACUGCUUCCAAAACUGCAGACCUAGAAUAUGGGAGAGGUAGAUGGAAUUUCUGGUGUAGAGGUAAAAUCCGUAGAGAUCAGAAGGAAUACCGAUUGCGA